This 502-nucleotide ribosomal RNA is filed under the name uncultured bacterium. Its description in RNAcentral is "bacterial SSU rRNA". It matches the Rfam family "Bacterial small subunit ribosomal RNA", at positions 33 to 507 of the family's 1533-position model. The record is from RNAcentral.
AACUACGCUGGCGGCGUGCCUAACACAUGCAAGUCGUACGAGAAAGUUGGCUUCGGCCGAUGAGUACAGUGGCGCACGGGUGAGUAACGCGUGGAUAAUCUGCCCUUAAGUGUGGAAUAACGUACCGAAAGGUGCGCUAAUACCGCAUAAUGCCUGGCAACAUAAGUUGUCCGGCCAAAGAAGGCCUCUGCUUGCAAGCUUUCGCUAAAGGAUGAGUCCGCGUACCAUUAGCUAGUUGGUGGGGUAACGGCCUACCAAGGCGACGAUGGUUAGCUGGUCUGAGAGGAUGAUCAGCCACACUGGAACUGAGACACGGUCCAGACUCCUACGGGAGGCAGCAGUGGGGAAUUUUGGACAAUGGGCGAAAGCCUGAUCCAGCCAUGCCGCGUGCAGGAUGGAAGGCCUUCGGGUUGUAAACUGCUUUUGUACGGAACGAAAAGACUCUGGUUAAUACCUGGGGUCCAUGACGGUACCGUAAGAAUAAGCACCGGCUAACUACGUG